RNAcentral lists this ribosomal RNA (253 nucleotides) under uncultured bacterium. RNAcentral describes it as "partial 16S ribosomal RNA". It matches the Rfam family "Bacterial small subunit ribosomal RNA", at positions 524 to 776 of the family's 1533-position model. The record is from RNAcentral.
UACGUAGGGUGCGAGCGUUAAUCGGAAUUACUGGGCGUAAAGCGUGCGCAGGCGGUUUUGUAAGCCAGAUGUGAAAGCCCCGGGCUCAACCUGGGAAUGGCAUUUGGGACUGCAAGGCUUGAGUGCGGCAGAGGGGACUGGAAUUCCUGGUGUAGCAGUGAAAUGCGUAGAUAUCAGGAGGAAUACCGGUGGCGAAGGCAGGUCUCUGGGCUGACACUGACGCUCAUGCACGAAAGCGUGGGGAGCAAACAGG